CUACGGGUGGCUGCAGUGAGGAAUAUUGCACAAUGGAGGAAACUCUGAUGCAGCAACGCCGCGUGGAGGAUGACGCAUUUCGGUGUGUAAACUCCUUUUAUAUGUCAAGAAAAUGACGGUAGCAUAUGAAUAAGCUCCGGCUAACUCCGUGCCAGCAGCCGCGGUAAUACGGAGGGAGCAAGCGUUACUCGGAAUCACUGGGCGUAAAGGACGCGUAGGCGGGAUAGAAAGUCAAGUGUGAAAUCCUAUGGCUCAACCAUAGAACUGCACUUGGAACUUCUAACCUAGAGUAUGGGAGGGGAAGAUGGAAUUAGUGGUGUAGGGGUAAAAUCCGUAGAUAUCACUAGGAAUACCAAAAGCGAAGGCGAUCUUCUGGAACAAUACUGACGCUAAGGCGUGAAAGCGUGGGGAGCAAACAGGAUUAGAUACCCCGGUAGUC
RNAcentral lists this ribosomal RNA (439 nucleotides) under uncultured bacterium. Its description in RNAcentral is "partial 16S ribosomal RNA". It matches the Rfam family "Bacterial small subunit ribosomal RNA", at positions 339 to 795 of the family's 1533-position model. The record is from RNAcentral.